GAUCGAUCUACAACACUUACGCAUUGCAAUCCGGAGAAUCCAUGAAUAUGCAAAAGAAGCCUUGAGAAUUAUUUUAGUCAUUUGUGUAUAGCAUGACGUUUCCAAAGAUAGAAUGAUGCAUGAUUGGUCAGCACACAAACUCUUGGCCAGGCGGGAUGUUACUAACAAGCAUAAACAGACACCUAAGCGAUCAGAUACGGCGAUUGUGCAAGUGUGUCAGGCCAACAGUUUGAGCAUACGGCAACCAUGGUGACAAAGACGAGCAUACCGGAACUACUCUAAGUUUCCAUGUUCUCGGUUACAGAGACUAGAUUGUUCCAAGUCGAU
Triticum aestivum (bread wheat) is the source of this 327-nucleotide long non-coding RNA. RefSeq lists it as uncharacterized. Lineage: Eukaryota; Viridiplantae; Streptophyta; Magnoliopsida; Poales; Poaceae. The record is from RefSeq and is a predicted model, not a curated record. The transcript has 5 exons.